RNAcentral lists this ribosomal RNA (447 nucleotides) under uncultured bacterium. RNAcentral's name for it is "SSU rRNA". It matches the Rfam family "Bacterial small subunit ribosomal RNA", at positions 26 to 518 of the family's 1533-position model. The record is from RNAcentral.
AGGAUGAACGCUGGCGGUCUGCUUAACACAUGCAAGUCGAACGGAGUAGCAAUACUUAGUGGCGGACGGGUGAGUAACGCGUGAGAAUCUACCUUCAGGACGGAGACAACAGUUGGAAACGACUGCUAACCCCCGAUGUACUGAAAAGGCAAAUAUUUAUAGCCUGAAGAAGAGCUCGCGUCCGAUUAGCUAGUUGGAGAGGUAAAAGCUCACCAAGGCGACGAUCGGUAGCUGGUCUGAGAGGACGAUCAGCCACACUGGGACUGAGACACGGCCCAGACUCCUACGGGAGGCAGCAGUGGGAAUUUUCCGCAAUGGGCGAAAGCCUGACGGAGCAAGACCGCGUGGGGGAAGAAGGCUCUUGGGUUGUAAACCCCUUUUCUCUGGGAAGAACACAAUGACGGUACCAGAGGAAUCAGCAUCGGCUAACUCCGUGCCAGCAGCCGC